ACUAAUGUUUUUGACCAAUUUGGCCUUCUAGAAGCUCACAUGUAUUUAAACUUAAUGUUUCUUCUAAACGUUAGAUCCACUCUAUCACAAGACUUUUUCACAGAAAAAAAGAAAAAAUAUCCUCAAAAUUCUUCUCCCUUACCCCCUCGUUUUCUCUCUGUUUUCUUGAUUUCUUAUUCAUUUCUCAACAAAAUAGAAAAUUUCCAUUUUUCAUCUUCUUCAAUGGAAAAAGUGAAUUUCAGAACAAAAGUCAUUAGCAGACACCUAAAUCAAGAAAAUCCAACACCCAUAAAUUCAACACUUCAAUCUUUCCCAUGUCUCAGUUACAAUCCACCUGAAUUUUCAGAACCAUCUUCUGUUUUUGACCUAAAAGAAAUGAGAAAACUUUUAGAUGGUCAUAAUUUGCAAGAAAGGGACUGGCUUUUUGGUCUAAUGUUGCAAAGCAAUCUUUUUAAUACGAAAAUAAGGGGCGGAAAAGUAUUUGUUCAACCUGAUUAUAACCAAUCUAAAGAACAACAAAGGGAAAUUACUAUGAGGAGAAUUGGCUAUCUUAUGCAAAAUGGUGUUUUUGAAAGGUGGCUAACUGGUAAAGGACCUGAAGAUGAGUUGAGGAAACUGGCUCUAUUGGAUGUGGUUGGAAUAUUUGAUCAUUCUCUUGCUAUCAAGAUUGGUGUCCAUUUUUUCCUGUGGUAUGUUUUUCUAUUUUUUCUUACUGAUAAAUUCAAAAAUAUUACUCCAACAGUUUCAAUUUAUGUAAAUAUAUUUGACGGAAUACGGAUUAAAAAAGAAAUAAAUUCGCAUAAAUUAUAAUACGUAUUAGGUAAGUAUAAGUAAACUUAAUAAACCAGUUGAUAAAUAUUAACUAGUAAGCUAAAUAUGUGUAACUGAUCAUUUAUCACAAGUUAAAAUUCACUAGUAGGGUAAAACUGUGUUUGCACUGUUAAUAUGACUUAAGAACUUUUUUCUGGAUUAAUUGGGGUCAAUUCAUAAUUUGAUUGCUCAACCUAUUUUCUUAUAAGAUAAGAUUGUUUUGGAAUAAGAAUAAGAAAAGCCUAAAUAUGUCAAAUUGCUAGUAGGGACAAUCUUGAUUAGUUUAAUUGCGUUACACAACUUAUUACUUAGUAUAUCAGGUAAGCAAAAUAUUUUUCUUUUAUCUUCCAUUUUGGUGCUCUGAACCCAUCAUACAAUUCUCAUUAGGAAAGGUUUUAAUCAUAGUAAGAGCUACAUUUAAAAUUUACGGGUUUGGGAUUUUAGUCCUUUAAAUGAAUGGAUUCUAAGUAAAGAAUUUAUAAAUGUUCAGUGAAUUUUUAAAGAUAAAUACAAUUGAAAAAAACAAUUAGGUUCGGCCGAACAUGUGUUUGAAGCAGGAGCGGAAGGGAUUCAUCCAAAGCUACUUCGCCAGAAAAUUACUCUGUAUAUGUAAGGCAAAAUUUGAUUUGUACAUCUAUAUUUUAUUUUUUGAAUCCCCGCGAUACAAACUCAAAAAUAUAGCUUAAUGAUUAAUAGAGUUCAAAAUGUAUUUUUGUUGCUUCAUUUUCUACCUACCACAAUUUCUUUCAAUUUUUUUUUAAUUUAGUCUUUUUUUUAAAUAUUUUAACGAAAAUUCUACUAUCGCCACUGAUAUAAAGCUCUGGCUCCACGCCCUGGUUUUAAUGCCCCCUUAUUUAAGAGGUUUUUUGGUAGUAGGUAAACAGAAUAUCAUUCUCCUUUUUGGUUGAUUCAUUCAAUGGUAAGAUAAAGUGAUAAAACCAAUCUUGAAUAAAGAAGAGAUAGAAAAUUACAGAAAAUCCUCAUCAGAUUACACAUAUCAAUAAAAAACAGAAACUGUCAGUAUUGUUCAAUGGGCACAUCACAUGGGAGAAAUAAUAAUUUCUUGUUAAAGCCAUUUACAAUGUUUAAUAUAAUUUGACAUUAAAAUACUUUCCCUAAAAAAAAGUAGACACAUCCCGACUCAAUAGCCUUUGAGGCCUAAAACCAAGACGUAAUAAGACGCUUUAAACUUAUUUAAUAAUUUUAAAUAUUUUUUUAAGUUUAUUCUUUUUACUUUUCGAAACUCAAUUUCAUCUUGAGUUCUUGAUAAUGUACCCAACAAUUUCAUUUUAAUAAUAUAACCAACCCCUUUAAUCUUUGUUGAAAGAUUACUAACAUUAUUAAGAUUUUAUUAAGUUUAAUUUUUAAAUUUUUUUUUUACAUGAUCAUCAACGUAACUCACUAUAUAACAUUACCUCCCAAAAUAAUAAUCAUGUAGAAAUUUAUAUUUACAACGUUUUAAUUUUUUCUUUUUACAUGAUCAUCAACGUAACUCACUAUAUAGCAUUACCUCCCAAAAUAAUAAUCAUAUAGAAUUUAUAUUUACAACGAUGAUAAAUAUUUUACGACAUAAUUAGCUUAAAGUAUGCCUAUAGAGAUCUUGCAAGAAAAUAUCUUACAAAGUUAGAAUUGUAAAUAAAAUUUAUUCAAGUUAAUGUAAGAACGAAUUAGAAAAUAACUACGAUUUAAAUGUUUUUCAUUUUCAUUUGAAUUUUCCUAACCAACUCUAAAAAAAGAGCACAUAAAAUAUAAAACUAUAUUAUUAACGAUUGGUGACAAAGUAGCAAAAUAUGGUUGAUUUUUUUUUUCUUAUUACUACUUAAUAAUAAAUAUUUAAAUUACAUAUAAAAAUAAUAAUUUUUUGUGCCUCUAAUUUUGUGAGGCCUAAAGCGACCGCUUUAAUGACUUGGGGGUUAAGCCACCUCUGGAUACCUGCAAUAUAGGUUGCCAAAUUAGUCUCAUUUUAUAUUCGGAUUUCGAGUCAACGAAUUGUUCUUUGGCCGUCAUUUUUUCAUAUCUUUUAAAUAUUUUAAAUUAUUGGUUACUGCGACCUAUAGUAUUUUUUUUGCAAAAAGUAUGUUAUUUUUUUGUUGAAAAAAAUGUAAAAAUUUCAUGAUCAAAUACACGGUUAAAAUUAAAAAUAAAAUAAAUUAAUUCUCGGAAAACAAAAAGUGUCAAAUAAAGUGGGAAAGAGAGAGUAAAUAGAGUAAGAAAGAUACAGACCUUUUAGAACUUGUACAAAGGAAAUAGAUCAAUUGGGUCCUGCCUUAACAGAUUUCAUAACUGACUAUAUCAGAACAAAGGCCAAAAAUAUUUGUAAUAUUAGCUUCUAAGUAGUAAAAGAUACUAUACUAUUACAAGAAUCCAAUAUUAAUUGCACUUCCUUAAAUAUUCUCUUUUUCAUCUCAGUUUUCUUGAUUUCCUAUACAAUUAAUCAUCUUUUCAAAUUUCUCAACAAAAUAGAAAAUUUCCAUUUUUCAUCUUCUUCAAUGGAAAAAGUGAAUUUCAGAACAAAAGUCAUUAGCAGACACCUAAAUCAAGAAAAUCCAACACCCAUAAAUUCAACACUUCAAUCUUUCCCAUGUCUCAGUUACAAUCCACCUGAAUUUUCAGAACCAUCUUCUGUUUUUGACCUAAAAGAAAUGAGAAAACUUUUAGAUGGUCAUAAUUUGCAAGAAAGGGACUGGCUUUUUGGUCUAAUGUUGCAAAGCAAUCUUUUUAAUACGAAAAUAAGGGGCGGAAAAGUAUUUGUUCAACCUGAUUAUAACCAAUCUAAAGAACAACAAAGGGAAAUUACUAUGAGGAGAAUUGGCUAUCUUAUGCAAAAUGGUGUUUUUGAAAGGUGGCUAACUGGUAAAGGACCUGAAGAUGAGUUGAGGAAAUUUGAUUUCGUAGAUGUUAUUGGCAUCUUUGAUCAUUCUCUUAAAAUCAAGCUCGGCGUCCAUUUUUUCUUAUGGUAUGUUUAUUCCCUAAGGGAUCGUUUGGUAUGUUGGAUAAUGGAUAAUAAACUUGGGAUUAAAUGGGGAAUUAUUUUAUCUUGCGUUUGGUUGAAUUUUUAAUUUAGGAUUAAAAAAUUAAUUUCACAAUUGGGUAUUAUUCUAUCCCACAUUAAGGGUGAGAUAGUAAUCUCGGGAUUGAUUAAUUCCGCGUUAGACACUAAAAUAAUAAGGAUGCCCUUCUUCAAGGCUUCACCCAAAGUAUUUUAAACAAUCAAUGGUUAAAAUUGAAAAUAAAAGUUUAUCUCAACUUAUCUAAUAUACACCAAAAUCCAAACACAUAUUUAUAUCAUAACCUGUGUAUCCCAUUUUUUUAGUCUAAUGAAUCGAACAUUUUCCAAUAAAAAUGUAUUUACUAAAUAAUUCUGUCAUUAUUUGAUUCCCAUAUGAUCAUCCUAUUAUUAUAAUCCCGUGAUAACUUGUUCCCCUACUAAAUAACCCUACAAGACAAGCGAGUAGUUCUCCAAUACUCCAAAUUUAAAUCUUCAUGGGGCCGUUUGUUGCUAGGGAUUAAGUGGGUUAUAAGAAUAUUUUUGUCUAAAUUAGGAGUAUUUUUUAAAAAACACUGUACUUAUUGAAGCACUAAGGGAAAAUUAAAGUAAUAAAUCAUUGCUUGUUUUCGUCAAAUGUAAACUAAAAUUGCCAAAAUGACUAAUAGGACAUGAGAGAUUACCAAAAUGAAAAGAAAAAAAAAAGUUACUCCCACAUGGCA
RNAcentral lists this long non-coding RNA (4518 nucleotides) under Nicotiana benthamiana. RNAcentral describes it as "long non-coding RNA (NBEN_LNC017181)". Lineage: Eukaryota; Viridiplantae; Streptophyta; Magnoliopsida; Solanales; Solanaceae. The record is from RNAcentral.